RNAcentral lists this ribosomal RNA (451 nucleotides) under Pseudomonas sp. RNAcentral's name for it is "bacterial SSU rRNA". It matches the Rfam family "Bacterial small subunit ribosomal RNA", at positions 81 to 528 of the family's 1533-position model. Lineage: Bacteria; Pseudomonadati; Pseudomonadota; Gammaproteobacteria; Pseudomonadales; Pseudomonadaceae. The record is from RNAcentral.
UGCUCUUCGAUUCAGCGGCGGACGGGUGAGUAAUACCUAGGAAUCUGCCUGGUAGUGGGGGACAACGUUUCGAAAGGAACGCUAAUACCGCAUACGUCCUACGGGAGAAAGCAGGGGACCUUCGGGCCUUGCGCUAUCAGAUGAGCCUAGGUCGGAUUAGCUAGUUGGUGAGGUAAUGGCUCACCAAGGCGACGAUCCGUAACUGGUCUGAGAGGAUGAUCAGUCACACUGGAACUGAGACACGGUCCAGACUCCUACGGGAGGCAGCAGUGGGGAAUAUUGGACAAUGGGCGAAAGCCUGAUCCAGCCAUGCCGCGUGUGUGAAGAAGGUCUUCGGAUUGUAAAGCACUUUAAGUUGGGAGGAAGGGCAGUAAGCUAAUACCUUGCUGUUUUGACGUUACCGACAGAAUAAGCACCGGCUAACUCUGUGCCAGCAGCCGCGGUAAUACAG